RNAcentral lists this ribosomal RNA (516 nucleotides) under uncultured bacterium. RNAcentral describes it as "partial 16S ribosomal RNA". It matches the Rfam family "Bacterial small subunit ribosomal RNA", at positions 28 to 523 of the family's 1533-position model. The record is from RNAcentral.
GACGAACGCUGGCGGCGUGCCUUACACAUGCAAGUCGCACGGAGUGUUUAUUUAUAAACACUUAGUGGCGAACGGGUGAGUAACGCGUAGACAACCUACCCUCUAGAUGGGGACAACACCGCGCAAGUGGUGCUAAUACCGAAUGUUGUAAUGUUAUUGCAUAAUGAUCUUACUACAGGUGGCAUCUAUAUAAAAGAUACCGCUAGAAGAUGGGUCUGAGUCUGAUUAGCUAGUUGGUGAGAUAACAGCUCACCAAGGCAAUGAUCAGUAGCCGGGCUGAGAGGAUGAACGGCCACACUGGGACUGAGACACGGCCCAGACUCCUACGGGAGGCAGCAGUGGGGAAUCUUCCGCAAUGGACGAAAGUCUGACGGAGCAACGCCGCGUGAGUGAAGAAGGUUUUCGGAUCGUAAAGCUCUGUCUUCAAGGACGAAUGUAGAUAUUGUGAAUAAUGAUAUCUAAUGACGGUACUUGAGGAGGAAGCCACGGCUAACUACGUGCCAGCCGCCGCAGUAA